AGCCUUUAGCAAAACAAGUAUUAAAGGUCCCGCCUGCCCAGUGAAACUCUUUUUAACGGCCGCGGUAUUCUAACCGUGCAAAGGUAGCGUAAUCACUUGUCUUCUAAAUAAAGACUAGUAUGAACGGCUAAAUGAGGACAAGCCUGUCUCAUGUGGUCAAUCAGUGAAACUGAUCUUCCGGUACAAAAGCCGGAAUAAUAUCAUAAGACGAGAAGACCCUGUGGAGCUUCAAAUCAACCACUAAUAAUCCAAACCUAGUACAAGAUUUUAAGUUGGGGCGACUUUGGAACAAAACACAACUUCCAAGCACGGGAACACCUUCCCCCACCAAGGCCAACAAGCCUAAGCAUUAAAACGACCCAGUCAUACUGAUCAACGAACCAAGUUACCCCAGGGAUAACAGCGCCAUCUUCUUCAAGAGUCCAUAUCGACAAGAAGGUUUACGACCUCGAUGUUGGAUCAGGACACCCAAGUGGUGCAGCCGCUACUAAUGGUUCGUUUGUUCAACGAUUAACAGUCCU
Molecule: ribosomal RNA, 521 nt
Filed under: Lygosoma sp.
Lineage: Eukaryota; Metazoa; Chordata; Lepidosauria; Squamata; Scincidae
Description: partial large subunit ribosomal RNA
Rfam family: Bacterial large subunit ribosomal RNA
Source: RNAcentral